CUACGGGUGGCUGCAGUGGGGAAUAUUGGACAAUGGGGGAAACCCUGAUCCAGCAAUGCCGCGUGUGUGAAGAAGGCCUGCGGGUUGUAAAGCACUUUCGGUUGGGAGGACUGCUUCUAGCACUAAUAUUGUUGGAAGUUGACGUUACCUUCAGAAGAAGCACCGGCUAACUCCGUGCCAGCAGCCGCGGUAAUACGGAGGGUGCAAGCGGUAAUCGGAAUUACUGGGCGUAAAGCGCGCGUAGGCGGCUAGAUCAGUCGGGCGUGAAAGCCCCGGGCUUAACCUGGGAACUGCAUCCGAUACUGUCUAGCUUGAGUACAGGAGAGGAGAGUGGAAUUCCACAUGUAGCGGUGAAAUGCGUAGAUAUGUGGAGGAACACCAAUGGCGAAGGCAGCUCUCUGGCCUGAUACUGACGCUGAGGUGCGAAAGCGUGGGGAGCAAACAGGAUUAGAUACCCCUGUAGUC
RNAcentral lists this ribosomal RNA (465 nucleotides) under uncultured bacterium. RNAcentral's name for it is "partial 16S ribosomal RNA". It matches the Rfam family "Bacterial small subunit ribosomal RNA", at positions 339 to 795 of the family's 1533-position model. The record is from RNAcentral.